This 3038-nucleotide long non-coding RNA is filed under the name Nicotiana tabacum (common tobacco). RNAcentral describes it as "long non-coding RNA (NTAB_LNC000323)". Lineage: Eukaryota; Viridiplantae; Streptophyta; Magnoliopsida; Solanales; Solanaceae. The record is from RNAcentral.
CGUCCUGGAUAUCAUUUUCAAGCUUAUGUCAACAUUUCUGCAGUGAAACUCUGUUUCCAUUUAUGAAGAUUUGAAAAUAUUGUUUCUUCAAUGUUUGAUUAAAUGGAUGUUCGAUGAAUAUUGGAAAUGACUUCUUAACAUUAAGUGACAAAUACUGCUGGAUGUUUGCUUCUUCUUUUUUUCUUCUUCCUUUUGUUUGAAUCUCUUUCUUCUGAGUUUGGCUAAUUAGGAAGAAUUUUAUUUUGGGUUAUAUUCUCAGGCAGUCAUUUUUUAUUUUUUUAAAGGAGAUACAUUGAUUUCAAGAAGGAUAGCACACAAAGUGUUUUGAGUAAACUCCAAAGUAAGGUUUUUAUGAGUAACAGUUUUCCAUACAAUUUUAGGUUUUUAUGAGUAACAAUUUUCUAAUAUUUCUUUAAUUAACUAUAAGUAUAUUGUUUACUCAUUUUCCUAAGGAUGAGGCUAGUUGUUGCCGUUCGGCAUGACAAGUUUAUUUAGCCGUGAAUUUUGUGUUAAAUCUGACAAGUAUGGUUAAAUUUAACUGAGAUUUUGACCUCCACCGUUAGUUUUAGUGCUAGAGAUUAAAAGUGUCCACUUUUUGUAUACAUUGAGGACUAUUUAUGUUAAGUGGUAUACAUUAAGAACCAAAACAGUGUAGAAAUAGCGUGGUAUAACCACUUUUUAAAGUGGUAUUUACUUUUUAGCCAGUAGUUUUAAUGUUGAGCAAAAAUAGUCACUACUUUAUUAAAAUUGAUACGAAAAAUCUUUUUUACCCUUUCUUCAUGAAUGAUGUGUAAAUAUUAAGGAUAUGGUGUCCUUAACUUCAUGAGUGAUAUGUAAAAUAUUAAGGACACUAUGUCCUUAACAUUUACAUUGCACACAUGAAGUUAAGGACACCAUGUCCUUAACAUUUACAAUGCACAUAUGAAGUUAAGGACAUGGUGUCCUAAAGUUUAACAACAGAAGUUGCAAAUACAAGUUAAUGAUAUUAUGUCCUUAACAUUUACAUUACACACAUGAAGUUAAGGACACAAUGUCCUUAACAUUUACACUACACAUAUGAGGUUAAGGACAUGAUGUCCUAAAGUUUAUCAGCAGAAGGCGCAAAUAUAGGACACUUUGUCCUUAAUAUUUACACAUCACUCAUGAAGUUAAGGACAUUAUGUCCUUAACAUUUACAAUGAACACAUGAAGUUAAGGACGUCACGUCCUUAAUAUUUACACAGCACAUAUGAAGUUAAGGACAUGAUGUCCUUAACAUUUACACAGCACAUAUGAAGUUAAGGACAUGAUAUCUUUAACAUUUACAUUGUAUACAUGAAGUUAAGGACACCAUGUCCUUAACAUUUACACUAUACAUAUGAAGUUAAGGACAUGAUGUCCUAAAGUUUAACAACAGAAGUUGCAAAUACAAGUUAAUGAUAUUAUGUCCUUAACAUUUACAUUGCACAAAUGAAGUUAAGGACACCAUGUCCUAAAUAUUUACACUGCACAUAUGAAGUUAACGACAUGAUGUCCUAAAGUUUAGCAGCAAAAGGUGCAAAUACAGGACACUUUGUCCUAAAUAUUUACACAACACAUAUGGCUAGCACAGGGGUAUUUUUGUCCGGCGGGUAAAAAUUUAUUAAGCACUGGCCAAAGAAUAAAUACAUUUAAAACAGUGGCUAAAAAGUGAAGACAUCUCUAAUCAGUGGCUAUCUGUGCACUUCCCCCAAAACAGUCCAACCCUUAUACAUUCAGGACCAUUCGAUCAUUUUCUCGUCCACCUCUCAUUACUAGCAAAACAUGUCUAAACGAAAACGGGAUGCGGGAAAUGGAGAAGAAGAAGAAGAAGCACCACGGCUCAGUGAAGAUGAUGAAAGGUAUAUGAAUUUCUUUUGGACCUAAAUUUUUUGGCACUUGCUACAGAGAAAUAACUAGUACUAGACAUCAUCCACCAAAUCUUGUCACAUUCAUUUGAAGCAGAUUCCGUGAUUCAAUCGCUCUUUCUUCUUCUUGAAAUCAUGAGUGUAAUAUUCUAAAAAGACAUAAAACUUUCAAGAUCUUAACAUGCGUUUUAUAUUAAUAUUAUUAUUUAUAUUGGUAAGAUAUAAUUCUUAGAGAGUAAGAUAUUAUCCACAAGUUUGGAAUACAUUACCUUAGAUCUUGUGGUAAAAAACUUUAUUUAUCAAUUCAAAGUUCCAACUCUACUAUUAAAAAACAUGCAAUCUUCCUUCUUUUUUUUUCUAAUAGUUUUACAAUGACUUUGUAUCUCUUUUUCUACAAAUUAUGAUAUUGUCUAAUUAAUAAUAAAAUCAUAAAUUUACUAUUAAAAUUUUUGAGGCCCCAAAAUAAAAGCAAAGGCUUUAUUAGCUCCCCUUUGAGCCGCCCCCCGAAUACCAAAUACAAAAGUAUACUGAGAAAGCAUAACUUUCAGCCAACCCAUAUAUCAAUUAUUCUGGUGAAUUACAAUAUACAAAAUGAGAUGAGAUCAAUCUAGCACAAGGUUGAUGUCAAAUCAAUUUAAUCAUUUCAUAUACAAAUAAAAUUUUCAAGAAAGGCUACAAAAAAGGCAAAGGGAAGAUACAACAAGAAAAGAGGGAUUCGAUUACCCAUAACACUGGUACCCCAUACAACCCGGGGGGGUAAGAAAAGCUUGAAACCAGGGGAGAAAAAUAAUUGAAACAUAAAAAAAUACAACUAAGCACACUGAAUGCCGCAGUGACUAACUGGCAACUCAGGUUUUGAGAAGGCCUUUUUCUCUUGUGGUAAAUCUGCAGAAAGAAUGAAUAAACAGAGUAGACUGCUAAUUGUUGCAGAUCUUGAUCCCCAGACUAUGCUGGUACCAUUCUUCAGUAUUGUUGCAUGACGCAGCAGACACACUCCACAUUAAAUUCUCUUCUAAUUUUAGCUACAACCUUCAAUCGGAGUUUGAAUCAUAGAAGUCACUGGGGCAAGGUGUCAUGACUUCAGAUUCAAGAAUCUGUACAACUCUGUGCAUUGUGGGCCUCUCCUCAGGAUUCGAAGAGACGCAUUGUGUGGCAACUGAAAGCAGGGCAUCC